GGAAGCGUGGUAACAUGUGGAGCUGACUGAUACUAAUCGUUCGAGGACUUAACCAAUUU
This 59-nucleotide ribosomal RNA is filed under the name Rhodococcus qingshengii. RNAcentral describes it as "partial 23S ribosomal RNA". The record is from RNAcentral. Lineage: Bacteria; Bacillati; Actinomycetota; Actinomycetes; Mycobacteriales; Nocardiaceae.